RNAcentral lists this ribosomal RNA (446 nucleotides) under uncultured bacterium. RNAcentral's name for it is "bacterial SSU rRNA". It matches the Rfam family "Bacterial small subunit ribosomal RNA", at positions 329 to 792 of the family's 1533-position model. The record is from RNAcentral.
GACCAGACUCCUACGGGAGGCAGCAGUGGGGAAUAUUGCACAAUGGGGGAAACCCUGAUGCAGCGACGCCGCGUGAGCGAUGAAGUAUUUCGGUAUGUAAAGCUCUCUCAGCAGGGAAGAAGAUGACGGUACCUGACUAAGAAGCCCCGGCUAACUACGUGCCAGCAGCCGCGGUAAUACGUAGGGGGCAAGCGUUAUCCGGAUUUACUGGGUGUAAAGGGAGCGUAGACGGCGAUGCAAGCCAGAUGUGAAAGCCCGGGGCUCAACCCCGGGACUGCAUUUGGAACUGUGUGGCUGGAGUGUCGGAGAGGCAGGCGGAAUUCCUAGUGUAGCGGUGAAAUGCGUAGAUAUUAGGAGGAACACCAGUGGCGAAGGCGGCCUGCUGGACGAUGACUGACGUUGAGGCUCGAAAGCGUGGGGAGCAAACAGGAUUAGAUACCCUGGUA